GGGCCCGCACAAGCAGCGGAGCAUGUGGUUUAAUUCGAAGCAACGCGAAGAACCUUACCAGGUCUUGACAUCCGGUAAAGCCUGCAGAGAUGCGGAGUGCCUUUCGGGGCAUACCGAGACAGGUGGUGCAUGGUUGUCGUCAGCUCGUGUCGUGAGAUGUUGGGUUAAGUCCCGCAACGAGCGCAACCCUUGUUGUCAGUUGCUAACGCGUAGAGGCGAGAACUCUGACGAGACUGCCGGGGACAACUCGGAGGAAGGUGGGGACGACGUCAAAUCAUCAUGCCCCUUAUGACCUGGGCUACACACGUGCUACAAUGGCCGGAACAAAGAGGUGCGAGACAGCAAUGUGGAGCAGAUCUGUAAAAACCGGUCUCAGUUCAGAUCGUGGGCUGCAACCCGCCACGUGAAGUUGGAGUUGCUAGUAAUCGCGAAUCAGCAUGUCG
This 443-nucleotide ribosomal RNA is filed under the name uncultured Bacillota bacterium. RNAcentral describes it as "bacterial SSU rRNA". It matches the Rfam family "Bacterial small subunit ribosomal RNA", at positions 917 to 1359 of the family's 1533-position model. The record is from RNAcentral. Lineage: Bacteria; Bacillati; Bacillota.